This 443-nucleotide ribosomal RNA is filed under the name uncultured bacterium. RNAcentral describes it as "partial 16S ribosomal RNA". It matches the Rfam family "Bacterial small subunit ribosomal RNA", at positions 338 to 795 of the family's 1533-position model. The record is from RNAcentral.
CCUACGGGAGGCAGCAGUGGGGAAUAUUGGGCAAUGGGCGCAAGCCUUACCCAGCAACGCCGCGUGAAGGAAGAAGGCUUUCGGGUUGUAAACUUCUUUUGUCAGGGACGAAGCAAGUGACGGUACCUGACGACUAAGCCACGGCUAACUACGUGCCAGCAGCCGCGGUAAUACGUAGGUGGCAAGCGUUAUCCGGAUUUACUGGGUGGAAAGGGCGUGUAGGCGGGGAAGCAAGUCAGAUGUGAAAACCACGGGCUCAACCUGUGGCCUGCAUUUGAAACUGUUUUUCUUGAGUGCUGGAGAGGCAAUCGGAAUUCCGUGUGUAGCGGUGAAAUGCGUAGAUAUACGGAGGAACACCAGUGGCGAAGGCGGAUUGCUGGACAGUAACUGACGCUGAGGCGCGAAAGCGUGGGGAGCAAACAGGAUUAGAUACCCGGGUAGUC